Molecule: ribosomal RNA, 301 nt
Filed under: uncultured bacterium
Lineage: Bacteria
Description: partial 16S ribosomal RNA
Rfam family: Bacterial small subunit ribosomal RNA
Source: RNAcentral
CAGUCGCCGCGGUAACACGAAGGGUGCAAGCGUUACUCGGAAUUACUGGGCGUAAAGCGUGCGUAGGUGGUGGUUUAAGUCCGUUGUGAAAGCCCUGGGCUCAACCUGGGAAUUGCAGUGGAUACUGGGUCACUAGAGUGUGGUAGAGGAUAGUGGAAUUUCCGGUGUAGCAGUGAAAUGCGUAGAGAUCGGAAGGAACAUCUGUGGCGAAGGUGACUAUCUGGGCCAACACUGACACUGAGGCACGAAAGCGUGGGGAGCAAACAGGAUUAGAUACCCCAGUAGUCCCUGUCUCUUAUAC